UCCAAUCUGACAGUACACACUUCUCUGCUGAAUUCCUCUGCCGCAGGACACCGAACACUGAGGAAAGACAACGAGUUUUUUAAAGAAUUUGCAUUCAUCAGACAAAGGAUAAGCAUCUCUCUGUAUUUUGACAUUCACAUAAAAGAAAACAAGGAGGCAGAAUAUUAAGAAUUAAAGGGCAAGUCAGCAGGUAGAUUAGGCUACUCUGAAAGAUUUAGAAAUCAAAAGGCCGCUGAAAUCACGACAAGAAUUUCAUAUGACAGCUUCUUGUAGAACAAGCUUCUUACAGAGAUUAACAUUCUAAGAGUGAAAUGAAUAAAAGAAGAGAACAUGAAAAUGCUGCCUGAUCAAUUUCCAGAUUCUGCAUUCCCUUGAGUUUUCUCCAGGAAUUCCUAUUCUUUUGUUAAACUAAAGUUUAAAAAUACUCCCAUUUUACUUGUUGAUAAAUAACCUGUGAAGCAUUAAUUGAAACAUUAUACCAAAGACACUGAAAGUUAGGUGGCAGAUGAAAAUAAUAAGUUGUUUUAUGAGAUAUUUCUCAAUUGCAGCAGUUUAAAAAUCUAAAUCUCAAUUAAUAUGAAUUUUUACCUUUUAUUUUCUCAGAUCAAGUCAUCGUUCUCUUCUUGGUUGCCUCUUUUGACUUGUUGUUAUAAACUUGGGUCAUUUUAAAUCUCAAAGCAUUUUACAAUACCAGUACUGCAGUCUUUUCCCACAGUCAACACUAAUGUCUAAUGCCACACACAGGCUUAGCAACCUACCAGUUUUAACUCCCCAAAUUCCUGGAGUUAAAACUUCUCUAAUUUACUGAGAUAAAAUUCAACAAAAUACUUAUUUUUUAAAGGAUAUUUUCUCUAACCGGACCUAACUCUUUAAAACAUGGCCAUCAAAUCCACUGACUGCUAAGAUUAAGACUAGGAAAAGGUUAGGGAGGUGGACCUGGAAUUUAGAAAAAGUAAUGUAGACAUUUUAGCUGAGAAGCUGCCAACACUAGCUGCUUGAUAUCCUUUUGUGAUGAGGUCAAUAUCCACUAAACUAGCUAAAAGUGGAAAGAAACUGCUUAGCCCAACAUCAUAUUCAUGGAUGAUUAAAUUAUUGAAGUUGAAAUAAUUCAUUCACAAAAUCUUCUUCACCUAGAAUAAAUUGGACUAGGGACAAAAAGAAUGUCUAUCCAUCUAUAAGAUCUUCAUUUCCACCUCCUUUAAGCAGAUCUCUCAAUUUAAAGAGCCAGCCACAGAGAAUACCAUCCAUAAUAAUAGUAUUGAUGGCAAUAGAAAUGGUAUGUACUCAAGCCAAAUUAAAGGAACAAAAACCUAAACCUGGUAAUAAAAAAAACCCUCUAAAAUUUAGUUAAAAUAUAUCUAAGUCCAUUUCUAAGUGCAUGUGUCUCAUUAUUCAUUAUUUUGCCAGAAUAUAAUUUGACUUGAGAAAGAAAAGGUAUACUUAAGCAUAAGCAAGACCUGUUGCUCUUAUAUUUAGUGGACUAAUUUUUGUUCAGUAAGAAUUCUUAGUAUACGGGACCUGACAAAAAAACACCACUGCACUCUCACUUUUUAAAGUAUAGAUGAAGACAGCUGUUUGUAGAUAUUUGGUGACCUAAUUUGUUUUAAUGAGAUUCAUUGUACAUUUUUAGAAAAUACCACCAAAAUGAAAAAUAAAAUCAAAAAUAAGGAAGAAUUUGGAGAAAUUCUACCAAGUCAUUUCCAAUACUUUCAUAAUUAUGGGAUUUGUUGUUUUUUAUACUUACAGAGUCAAAUUGACUCAACCAAUUUAGCCUGUUACUUAGAUUGUUAUAUAUUAGAAAAACAAAUGGUUGGAUUGCUAUAUUUUUCUUCUAAUCCUGCAACUAAUAGCUUCAUAGUUUGCCAAUAUAAUUCUAAAUAUUUUUCAAAUCUAUAAAUAACACUAUCAUCUUAAAAUCAUCACUUUUUUCUUUGUCAGUCACAAUUCCCAAAUGAUGCAACCCCUGCCUAAAAUCACUUAAAAGAAGUAAAGGUCAUCAGCAAAAAUGUC
This is a long non-coding RNA of Ornithorhynchus anatinus (platypus), 2010 nucleotides long. RefSeq lists it as uncharacterized. Lineage: Eukaryota; Metazoa; Chordata; Mammalia; Monotremata; Ornithorhynchidae. The transcript is spliced from 4 exons. The record is from RefSeq and is a predicted model, not a curated record.